RNAcentral lists this ribosomal RNA (492 nucleotides) under uncultured bacterium. Its description in RNAcentral is "partial 16S ribosomal RNA". It matches the Rfam family "Bacterial small subunit ribosomal RNA", at positions 29 to 507 of the family's 1533-position model. The record is from RNAcentral.
AGUGAACGCUGGCGGUAGGCCUAACACAUGCAAGUCGAACGGCAGCACAGUAAGAGCUUGCUCUUACGGGUGGCGAGUGGCGGACGGGUGAGGAAUACAUCGGAAUCUACUUUUUCGUGGGGGAUAACGUAGGGAAACUUACGCUAAUACUGCAUACGACCUACGGGUGAAAGCAUGGGAUCUUCGGACCUUGCGCGAUUGAAUGAGCCGAUGUCGGAUUAGCUAGUUGGCGGGGUAAAGGCCCACCAAGGCGACGAUCCGUAGCUGGUCUGAGAGGAUGAUCAGUCACACUGGAACUGAGACACGGUCCAGACUCCUACGGGAGGCAGCAGUGGGGAAUAUUGGACAAUGGGCGCAAGCCUGAUCCAGCCAUACCGCGUGGGUGAAGAAGGCCUUCGGGUUGUAAAGCACUUUUGUUGGGAAAGAAAAGCAGCAGGUUAAUACCCCGCUGUUCUGACGGUACCCACAGAAUAAGCACCGGCUAACUUCGUG